AUUGAACGCUGGCGGCAUGCUUUACACAUGCAAGUCGAACGGCAGCGCGGGCUUCGGCCUGGCGGCGAGUGGCGAACGGGUGAGUAAUGCAUCGGAACGUGCCCAGUAGUGGGGGAUAGCCCGGCGAAAGCCGGAUUAAUACCGCAUACGACCUGCGGGUGAAAGCGGGGGACCGAAAGGCCUCGCGCUAUUGGAGCGGCCGAUGCCGGAUUAGCUAGUUGGUGGGGUAAAGGCUUACCAAGGCGACGAUCCGUAGCUGGUCUGAGAGGACGACCAGCCACACUGGGACUGAGACACGGCCCAGACUCCUACGGGAGGCAGCAGUGGGGAAUUUUGGACAAUGGGGGCAACCCUGAUCCAGCCAUGCCGCGUGCGGGAAGAAGGCCUUCGGGUUGUAAACCGCUUUUGUUCGGGAAGAAAUCCUCUGGGCUAAUACCCCGGGGGGAUGACGGUACCGGAAGAAUAAGCACCGGCUAACUACGUG
RNAcentral lists this ribosomal RNA (484 nucleotides) under uncultured bacterium. RNAcentral describes it as "partial 16S ribosomal RNA". It matches the Rfam family "Bacterial small subunit ribosomal RNA", at positions 28 to 507 of the family's 1533-position model. The record is from RNAcentral.